This 406-nucleotide ribosomal RNA is filed under the name uncultured bacterium. Its description in RNAcentral is "partial 16S ribosomal RNA". It matches the Rfam family "Bacterial small subunit ribosomal RNA", at positions 30 to 526 of the family's 1533-position model. The record is from RNAcentral.
AUUGAACGCUGGCGGCAGGCCUAACACAUGCAAGUCGAACGAGUGGCGGACGGGUGAGUAAUGUCUGGGAAACUGCCCGAUGGAGGGGGAUAACUACUGGAAAAGGUAGCUAAUAACGCAUACCAUCGGAUGUGCCCAGAUGGGAUUAGCUAGUAGGUGGGGUAAAGGCGCACCUGGGCGAUGAUCCCUAGCUGGUCUGAGAGGAUGACCAGCCACACUGGAACUGAGACACGUUCCAGACUCCUACGGGAGGCAGCAGUGGGGAAUAUUGCACAAUGGGCGCAAGCCUGAUGCAGCCAUGCCGCGUGUAUGAAGAAGGCCUUCGGGUUGUAAAGUACUUUCAGCGUGGAGGCGUUACCCGCAGAAGAAGCACCGGCUAACUCCGUGCCAGCCGCCGCGGUAAUUC